AACAUCGCUUCCUGUAAGUUUUCGAAGUAUGACCUGCCCGCUGAUUCAUUGAAGGGCCGCGGUAUCCUGACCGUGCAAAGGUAGCAUAAUCAUUAGUCUUUUAAUUGUAGACUGGUAUGAAUGGUUUGACGAGACGUUAACUGUCUUUAGUUUAGAUGUAUUAUUGAAUCUGGUUUUUUGGUAAAAAUACCUAAAUUUUUUUAUGGGACGAGAAGACCCUAUAGAGUUUUAUAUAACUUUUCCUUGAGCUGUCAGGUUCACUUUUUUUGGUACUGUUGUAUUUUGUUGGGGUGAUGGGAAGAUAAAAUUAACUCUUCUUUUUUUUCGUACACUCAUUUGUGAUACUU
This 347-nucleotide ribosomal RNA is filed under the name Paraneotermes simplicicornis. RNAcentral describes it as "partial large subunit ribosomal RNA". The stretch from base 1 to 194 matches the Rfam family "Archaeal large subunit ribosomal RNA", at positions 1907 to 2146 of the family's 2987-position model. Lineage: Eukaryota; Metazoa; Arthropoda; Insecta; Blattodea; Kalotermitidae. The record is from RNAcentral.